CAGGUAUAAGAAGAGAUUUCAUAAGUUUGAUGCAGACCAGAAAGGCUUUAUUACCAUUGUUGAUGUUCAGCGUGUAUUAGAGAGUAUCAAUGUCCAAAUGGAUGAAAAUACACUCCAUGAAAUUCUAAAUGAAGUUGAUUUGAAUAAAAAUGGACAGGUUGAACUCAAUGAAUUUUUGCAGCUGAUGAGUGCUAUUCAAAAAGGAAGGGUAUCUGGAAGCCGACUUGCUAUACUAAUGAAAACUGCAGAAGAGAACCUCGACAGAAGAGUUCCAAUUCCAGUGGACCGUAGUUGUGGAGGAUUGUGAGUCUGGGCAGUAAAUCCACAGCCAACAAACAUAGAAACGACAAAUCACCAUGUAACAACCAGAGAUGACUGAAACCACUCUAAAAUAAUGAAUGUGGAUAGCUGCCUUUUUUAACACUAGAAAACAUUCC
This 437-nucleotide small RNA is filed under the name Pan troglodytes (chimpanzee). RNAcentral's name for it is "processed transcript". Lineage: Eukaryota; Metazoa; Chordata; Mammalia; Primates; Hominidae. The record is from RNAcentral.